ACGUCUCUCCUCUUGAUAAGCACGACUGAGGGAGACGGUUCCUGCUAGGACUCGAAUUCAAAGUGCAAUCUUUAUCUCGUCGGGUUGUAAUUAUCAUGAAGAUAAUUAUUGCUUUUCUGUAUUUUGAAUGGGUUAGGAUACUGGUGUUUCACGCUUUUGUUUCCUUCUUUGCAGGCGGACGUUCGGUGAGACGAAGAUGACG
Molecule: long non-coding RNA, 202 nt
Filed under: Populus tremula
Lineage: Eukaryota; Viridiplantae; Streptophyta; Magnoliopsida; Malpighiales; Salicaceae
Description: long non-coding RNA (PTRE_LNC000207)
Source: RNAcentral